UACGUAGGGAGCAAGCGUUAUCCGGAAUUACUGGGCGUAAAGGGCGUGUAGGCGGCUACUUAAGCCAGAUGUUAAAUGUUACAGCUCAACUGUAAACCUGCAUCUGGAACUGGGUAGCUAGAGGACGAGAGAGGAAAGUGGAAUUCCUAGUGUAGCGGUGGAAUGCGUAGAUAUUAGGAGGAACACCAGUGGCGAAGGCGGCUUUCUGGCUCGUACCUGACGCUGAGGCGCGAAAGCGUGGGGAGCAAACAGGAUUAGAUACCCUGGUAGUCCACGCCGUAAACGAUGAGUACUAGGUGUAGGAGGGAACAACCUUCUGUGCCGCAGCUAACGCAAUAAGUACUCCGCCUGGGGAGUACGCUCGCAAGAGUGAA
RNAcentral lists this ribosomal RNA (374 nucleotides) under uncultured bacterium. RNAcentral's name for it is "bacterial SSU rRNA". It matches the Rfam family "Bacterial small subunit ribosomal RNA", at positions 524 to 898 of the family's 1533-position model. The record is from RNAcentral.